CUGGGGUGCGAUUGACGCUGAGGCUCGAAAGUGCGGGAAUCAAACAGGAUUAGAUACCCUGGUAGUCCGCACCGUAAACGAUGAAUGCUCGUUCUGGGCGACACACUGUCCGGGACCAAGGGAAACCAUUAAGCAUUCCACCUGGGGAGUACGCCGGCAACGGUGAAACUCAAAGGAAUUGACGGGGGCCCGCACAAGCGGAGGAACAUGUGGUUUAAUUCGAUGAUACGCGAGGAACCUUACCCGGGCUUGAACUGCUGAGGAAGGAUACAGAGAUGUAGACGCCCUUCGGGGCCUCAGUGGAGGUGCUGCAUGGUUGUCGUCAGCUCGUGCCGUGAGGUGUCGGCUUAAGUGCCAUAACGAGCGCAACCCUUGCUGUCGGUUGCCAUCACGUAGUGGUGGGCACUCCGGCGGGACUGCCAUCGCAAGAUGUGAGGAAGGUGGGGAUGACGUCAAAUCAGCACGGCCCUUACGUCCGGGGCUACACACGUGUUACAAUGGGGGGCACAGCGCGGAGCUACCUGGUGACAGGAUGCGAAUCGUGAAAUCCCCUCUCAGUUCGGACUGGAGUCUGCAACCCGACUCCACGAAGCUGGAUUCG
Molecule: ribosomal RNA, 601 nt
Filed under: uncultured bacterium
Lineage: Bacteria
Description: bacterial SSU rRNA
Rfam family: Bacterial small subunit ribosomal RNA
Source: RNAcentral